This is a small nuclear RNA of Betta splendens (Siamese fighting fish), 157 nucleotides long. Its record names the gene U1. It matches the Rfam family "U1 spliceosomal RNA". From Rfam's summary of the family: U1 is a small nuclear RNA (snRNA) component of the spliceosome (involved in pre-mRNA splicing). Its 5' end forms complementary base pairs with the 5' splice junction, thus defining the 5' donor site of an intron. There are significant differences in sequence and secondary structure between metazoan and yeast U1 snRNAs, the latter being much longer (568 nucleotides as compared to 164 nucleotides in human). The record is from Ensembl. NCBI's taxonomy places the organism in Eukaryota, Metazoa, Chordata, Actinopteri, Anabantiformes, Osphronemidae.
AUACUUACCUGGCAGGGGAGAUACCAUGAUCAUGUAGGUGGUUCACCCAGGGCGAGGCUCAGCUAUUGCACUGAGGCUGUCUGACCUCUGUGAUCAGCGUUGAGCUCGACAGUAGUGCAGUUUGCGUUAGGACUUAUUGGCUGAGAGUCUAUAAAUA